GAUGAACGCUGGCGGCGUGCUUAACACAUGCAAGUCGAACGAAGUAUUGACGCUGCAGAGAUUUCGGUCAAAGCUUGUUAAUACUUAGUGGCGGACGGGUGAGUAACGCGUGGGUAACCUGCCGUAUGCAGGGGGACAACAGUUGGAAACGACUGCUAAUACCGCAUAUGCACACAGUACCGCAUGGUACAGUGUUUUAAGAUCUAUCGGCAUACGAUGGACCCGCGUUUGAUUAGAUAGUUGGUGAGGUAACGGCUCACCAAGUCGACGAUCAAUAGCCGGCCUGAGAGGGCAAUCGGCCACAUUGGGACUGAGACACGGCCCAAACUCCUACGGGAGGCAGCAGUGGGGGAAUAUUGCACAAUGGGGGAAACCCUGAUGCAGCGACGCCGCGUGAGUGAAGAAAGUAUUUCGGUAUGUAAAGCUCUAUCAGCAGGGAAGAUGAUGACGGUACCUGACUAAGAAGCCCCGGGCUAACUACGUGCCAGCAGCCGCGGUAUACGUAGGGGCGAGCGUUAUCCCGGAUUUACUGGGGUGUAAAGGGAGCGUAGGCGGCCGUGCAAGUCAGUGGUGAAGCCGGGGCUCCACCCCCGGGACUGGCACUUGGAAACAUAGGCCUGGGGCUUUGGUGUACGGGAGGCAC
Molecule: ribosomal RNA, 643 nt
Filed under: uncultured bacterium
Lineage: Bacteria
Description: bacterial SSU rRNA
Rfam family: Bacterial small subunit ribosomal RNA
Source: RNAcentral